Molecule: ribosomal RNA, 242 nt
Filed under: uncultured bacterium
Lineage: Bacteria
Description: partial 16S ribosomal RNA
Rfam family: Bacterial small subunit ribosomal RNA
Source: RNAcentral
GAUCAUGGCUCAGAACGAACGCUGGCGGCAUGGAUUAGGCAUGCAAGUUGAACGAACCACUUCGGUGGAGAGUAGCGGAAGGGUGAGGAACGCGUGAGUAAUCUGCCCCCUAGUUGGGAAUAACAGUUGGAAACGACUGCUAAUACCGGAUGUGGCUUCAAUCCUGCAUGGGAUAGAGGCUAAAGAUUUAUCGCUAGGGGAUGAGCUCGCGUCCCAUUAGGUAGUUGGUGAGGUAACGGCCC